RNAcentral lists this ribosomal RNA (495 nucleotides) under uncultured bacterium. RNAcentral describes it as "partial 16S ribosomal RNA". It matches the Rfam family "Bacterial small subunit ribosomal RNA", at positions 28 to 507 of the family's 1533-position model. The record is from RNAcentral.
GACGAACGCUGGCGGCGUGCCUAAUACAUGCAAGUAGAACGCUGAAGGAGGAGCUUGCUUCUCUGGAUGAGUUGCGAACGGGUGAGUAACGCGUAGGUAACCUGCCUGGUAGUGGGGGAUAACUAUUGGAAACGAUAGCUAAUACCGCAUAAUAGCAGUUGUUGCAUGAUAACUGUUUGAAAGGUGCAAUUGCACCGCUACCAGAUGGACCUGCGUUGUAUUAGCUAGUUGGUGGGGUAACGGCUCACCAAGGCGACGAUACAUAGCCGACCUGAGAGGGUGAUCGGCCACACUGGGACUGAGACACGGCCCAGACUCCUACGGGAGGCAGCAGUAGGGAAUCUUCGGCAAUAGACGGAAGUCUGACCGAGCAACGCCGCGUGAGUGAAGAAGGGUUUCGGAUCGUAAAGCUCUGUUGUAAGAGAAGAACGAGUGUGAGAGUGGAAAGUUCACACUGUGACGGUAUCUUACCAGAAAGGGACGGCUAACUACGUG